This 440-nucleotide ribosomal RNA is filed under the name uncultured bacterium. RNAcentral's name for it is "bacterial SSU rRNA". It matches the Rfam family "Bacterial small subunit ribosomal RNA", at positions 338 to 770 of the family's 1533-position model. The record is from RNAcentral.
CCUACGGGAGGCUGCAGUGGGGAAUUUUGGACAAUGGGGGAAACCCUGAUCCAGCCAUCCCGCGUGAGUGAAGAAGGCCUUCGGGUUGUAAAGCUCUUUCGAAAGUGAAGAAAACUUAUUUCGUAAUAUGUUAUAAGUAUGACGGUAACUUUAGAAGAAGCACCGGCUAACUACGUGCCAGCAGCCGCGGUAAUACGUAGGGUGCGAGCGUUAAUCGGAAUUACUGGGCGUAAAGCGUGCGCAGGCGGUUUUGUAAGUCAGAUGUGAAAUCCCCGAGCUUAACUUGGGAACUGCGUUUGAAACUACAAGACUAGAGUGUGUCAGAGGGGGGUAGAAUUCCACGUGUAGCAGUGAAAUGCGUAGAGAUGUGGAGGAAUACCAAUGGCGAAGGCAGCCCCCUGGGAUAACACUGACGCUCAUGCACGAAAGCGUGGGGAGCG